Molecule: transfer RNA, 63 nt
Filed under: Doliolum nationalis
Lineage: Eukaryota; Metazoa; Chordata; Thaliacea; Doliolida; Doliolidae
Description: tRNA-Arg
Source: RNAcentral
UAAUAGAUAGUUUAUAAUAAAACAUAUGGUUUCGGGCCAUAAGAAGGGGGAUCCCUAUAUUGC